This 858-nucleotide ribosomal RNA is filed under the name Suillus alpinus. RNAcentral describes it as "eukaryotic LSU rRNA". It matches the Rfam family "Eukaryotic large subunit ribosomal RNA", at positions 78 to 907 of the family's 3401-position model. Lineage: Eukaryota; Fungi; Basidiomycota; Agaricomycetes; Boletales; Suillaceae. The record is from RNAcentral.
CCCUAGUAACUGCGAGUGAACCGGGAAAAGCUCAAAUUUUGAAUCUGGCGGUCUUUACGGCCGUCCGAGUUGUAAUCUAGAGAAGCGUCUUCCGCGCUGGACCGUGUAUAAGUUUCCUGGAAUGGAACGUCGUAGAGGGUGAGAAUCCCGUCUUUGACACGGACUACCAGGGCUAUGUGAUGCGCUCUCGACGAGUCGAGUUGUUUGGGAAUGCAGCUCAAAUAGGGUGGUAAAUUCCAUCUAAAGCUAAAUACAGGCGAGAGACCGAUAGCGAACAAGUACCGUGAGGGAAAGAUGAAAAGAACUUUGGAAAGAGAGUUAAACAGUACGUGAAAUUGCUGAAAGGGAAACGCUUGAUGUCAGUCGCGUUCGCCGGGGAUCAGCCUUGCUUUUUUGCUCGGCGUACUUCCCGGUUGACGGGUCAGCAUCAGUUUUAUUCGUCGGAAAAUGACUUGAGAAAUGUGGCACUCUUCGGAGUGUGUUAUAGGCUCUCGUCGAAUACGACGUUUGGGACUGAGGAACUCAGCACGACCUCUAGGGGUUCGGGGCUUAGGCCCACGUUAACGUGCUUAGGAUGCUGGCAUAAUGGCCUUAAGCGACCCGUCUUGAAACACGGACCAAGGAGUCUAACUCGCAUGCGAGUGUUUGGGCGAUUAAAACCCAAGCGCGUAAUGAAAGUGAAAGUCGAGACCUCUGUCGUGGAGGGCAUCGACGCCCGGACCAGAGCUUUUGCAAAGGAUCUGCGGUAGAGCAUGCGUGUUGGGACCCGAAAGAUGGUGAACUAUGCCUGAAUAGGGUGAAGCCAGAGGAAACUCUGGUGGAGGCUCGUAGCGAUUCUGACGUGCAAAUCGAUCGUCG